GAUGAACGCUGGCGGCGUGCCUAAUACAUGCAAGUCGAGCGAACAGACGAGGAGCUUGCUCCUCUGACGUUAGCGGCGGACGGGUGAGUAACACGUGGAUAACCUACCUAUAAGACUGGGAUAACUUCGGGAAACCGGAGCUAAUACCGGAUAAUAUAUUGAACCGCAUGGUUCAAUAGUGAAAGACGGUUUUGCUGUCACUUAUAGAUGGAUCCGCGCCGCAUUAGCUAGUUGGUAAGGUAACGGCUUACCAAGGCAACGAUGCGUAGCCGACCGGAGGGGGUGAUCGGCCACACGGGAACUGAGACACGGUCCAGACUCCUACGGGAGGCAGCAGUAGGGAAUCUUCCGCAAUGGGCGAAAGCCUGACGGAGCAACGCCGCGUGAGUGAUGAAGGUCUUCGGAUCGUAAAACUCUGUUAUUAGGGAAGAACAAAUGUGUAAGUAACUAUGCACGUCUUGACGGUACCUAAUCAGAAAGCCACGGCUAACUACGUG
This 497-nucleotide ribosomal RNA is filed under the name uncultured bacterium. Its description in RNAcentral is "partial 16S ribosomal RNA". It matches the Rfam family "Bacterial small subunit ribosomal RNA", at positions 28 to 507 of the family's 1533-position model. The record is from RNAcentral.